UACGGAGGAUUCAAGCGUUAUCCGGAUUUAUUGGGCGUAAAGGGAACGCAGGCGGUCUUUUAAGUCUGAUGUGAAAGCCUUCGGCUUAACCGGAGUAGUGCAUUGGAAACUGGGAGACUUGAGUGCAGAAGAGGAGAGUGGAACUCCAUGUGUAGCGGUGAAAUGCGUAGAUAUAUGGAAGAACACCAGUGGCGAAAGCGGCUCUCUGGUCUGUAACUGACGCUGAGGUUCGAAAGCGUGGGUAGCAAACAGG
This 253-nucleotide ribosomal RNA is filed under the name uncultured bacterium. Its description in RNAcentral is "partial 16S ribosomal RNA". It matches the Rfam family "Bacterial small subunit ribosomal RNA", at positions 524 to 776 of the family's 1533-position model. The record is from RNAcentral.